AAACUUUCAACAACGGAUCUCUUGGUUCCCGCAUCGAUGAAGAACGCAGCGAAACGCGAUAGGUAAUGUGAAUUGCAGAAUCUAGUGAAUCAUCGAAUCUUUGAACGCACAUUGCGCCUUUUGGUAUUCCGAGAGGCAUGUCUGUUUGAGCGUGAGU
Molecule: ribosomal RNA, 157 nt
Filed under: Hyalorbilia erythrostigma
Lineage: Eukaryota; Fungi; Ascomycota; Orbiliomycetes; Orbiliales; Orbiliaceae
Description: 5.8S ribosomal RNA
Rfam family: 5.8S ribosomal RNA
About the family: 5.8S ribosomal RNA (5.8S rRNA) is a component of the large subunit of the eukaryotic ribosome. It is transcribed by RNA polymerase I as part of the 45S precursor that also contains 18S and 28S rRNA.
Source: RNAcentral